RNAcentral lists this long non-coding RNA (1341 nucleotides) under Amborella trichopoda. RNAcentral's name for it is "long non-coding RNA (ATRI_LNC000914)". Lineage: Eukaryota; Viridiplantae; Streptophyta; Magnoliopsida; Amborellales; Amborellaceae. The record is from RNAcentral.
CUAUCUUUACAAGCUCUGUAGGUAAUUUGAGAAAUUUCCUUUCAAACAAUAUAAUAAACUAAAAUUUACCAACUUGUAAUAAGGAAAACGAUUACCCCGCUAAAAAAAUCAUAAUAAAAACUAUUAAAAAAGGGUGUGAUUUAUAUAAAGUAUCAACAUUAAACAAUCAAAUUAAGAUUGAGUAGAUUUAUAAACGCUUGAAAAUCUUGAAAAAUAAAUAAUUCAGAUAAUGUAUUACAAGAUGCAUUAUUUUUUAGAUUUAAAAUCAUAUUUUCACAUCUAAGUAUCUCGAGGUCCAGAUGAUCAAUUAGAGUAUUUCCUAACACAAGAACAACCUUUUCCAUAUGGUAUUUGAGAUGUGUCUUACUCUCUAUAAUAUAGGGUAGGUACUUUGCAUAAAAUUUUUCCUUUCAAAAAAGAAAAGGGAAAAUAUUAACAAAAAAAGUAAAAUUAGAUCAACCCAUGCAACAUAGUGGUACGGAGCUCAUUUUCUCAAUCAUUUGGUUGGUGGUUCGAAUCCAUAGUUUUAUCACGAAUAAAUUAAUUGAUUAUUUAUUUAUUUUAAGAAAAGUUGACCAAAAUUACUUAAUUUUUUAUCCAUUUCAUAAUUGAAAAUGGGAGCAUUUAUUCAUAUCAUGGGAACCUCCUAUUUUUAUUGUGUUCCACUUAAAAAGAAGUACAGGGGCCUAUUCAUUGAAAAGCCAGGGCACAUGGAAUGAUGGGUGCCCUACUUUACAAUCUUGUAAUAACUUUUUCUUCACUUUUACCCACUUUUAUGAGCUUAUGUUUUUCUAAUUUGUUUUACCCAUUUAAAUAAUUUCUUUUUCCUUUAUUCCUUGACUUUAUGAUAGUUCAUUUUUGCUUCUGGAUAGAGAAAUGACAAAAAGGAUAAGAUAUUUAAUAUGGAUAACAUAUAUGAAAGGCUUCCAAAAAUUUUUGGCUUUAUUCAUUAUUAACACUUUUAUUACGUAUUUUAAACAAAUAUUUAUAGCUUAAAAGUAGGGAAUGCUGCUCCAGUGUCCGGAAACCCUUGCCAUGGCCUACAAAUCUUGUUGCUGAAUCUCAAAAAAUAGUGUAGAUCUGACAUAUUUGUUUGCAGUUAGAGAUAGAUAGUUUAAAAUACUUGUUACACGAUGGAAAAAUUUUAAUACCUACAUUUUUAUUUUUAUUUUAUGUUCAUGAUUGUACAAGGAUGUGAGUUGAUCAACUCAAUUUCAUUUAUUAUGAGAUAUGAGGUGCGGCUUUAUAAAGCCUAGACCCUAGACUUUCCCUUGAUAUUUUGCAUUAGUAGCAGUGUUUCAAAGCUUAGAUCGGUGGGGUGGAUUGUUCAUUUAUAAAUAG